CGUGUAGGCGGUUUGGUAAGUCAGAUGUAAAGGUCCCGGCUUAACCGGGAUGGUCAUUUGAAACUGCCAGGCUUGAGUUCGAGAGAGGGUAGCGGAAUUCCCAGUGUAGCGGUGAAAUGCGUAGAUAUUGGGAAGAACACCAGUAGCGAAGGCGGCUACCUGGCUCGCAACUGACGCUAAGGCGCGAAAGCGUGGGGAGCAAACA
Molecule: ribosomal RNA, 205 nt
Filed under: uncultured bacterium
Lineage: Bacteria
Description: partial 16S ribosomal RNA
Rfam family: Bacterial small subunit ribosomal RNA
Source: RNAcentral